UACGGAGGGGGCUAGCGUUGUCCGGAAUUACUGGGCGUAAAGCGCGCGUAGGUGGUCCACCAAGUCGGGGGUGAAAGCCCAGGGCUCAACCCUGGAACUGCUGGGUAUACUGGUUGUCUUGAGCCAGCUAGGGGCGAGCGGAACAGACGGUGGAGCGGUGAAAUGCGUAGAUAUCGUCUGGAACGCCGAAGGUGAAAACAGCUCGCUGGGGCUGCGCUGACGCUGAGACCCGAAAGCCAGGGGAGCGAACGGG
Molecule: ribosomal RNA, 253 nt
Filed under: uncultured bacterium
Lineage: Bacteria
Description: partial 16S ribosomal RNA
Rfam family: Bacterial small subunit ribosomal RNA
Source: RNAcentral